Molecule: long non-coding RNA, 383 nt
Organism: Mastomys coucha (southern multimammate mouse)
Lineage: Eukaryota; Metazoa; Chordata; Mammalia; Rodentia; Muridae
Exons: 3
Source: RefSeq, a predicted model, not a curated record
AACUUAGUGAGUUGGGUGGAGACAUUUUGGGAGCUCCAGGCCAGAGUCUCUACAAGAUAAGAACUGGCAGGAUGUCACAGCUCUCCUGAAGUUUAAUAUCUGAAAAUAAAUGUUAACUGAAGUAAACAACAAAACUAUUCUCUAAUUCCCGACAGUUAUAUUUUACACAAAUGAAGCUGUCCUGUUGCUGGAGACAUCAAAUUGUGAGGCUAUGGAACCUAGAGAUGAAUCCUCAUUUGGAGAAAAAGCCAACUAUCCAUAUUGUGAAGAACUGCCAGAAGUGACUGUGGCAAAGGCCUAAGUGGUGUACUACAGGAGACCAGAACAUGAAGCCUGACAAAAUCCAACUGAAUAAAUUUGGAAGUGCUGCUUCCCCACAGUAA